CAGUCGCCACGGGAAUACAGAGGGUGCGAGCGUUAAUCGGAUUUACUGGGCGUAAAGCGUGCGUAGGCGGCUUCUUAAGUCGGAUGUGAAAUCCCUGAGCUUAACUUAGGAAUUGCAUUCGAUACUGGGAAGCUAGAGUAUGGGAGAGGAUGGUAGAAUUCCAGGUGUAGCGGUGAAAUGCGUAGAGAUCUGGAGGAAUACCGAUGGCGAAGGCAGCCAUCUAGCCUAAUACUGACGCUGAGGUACGAAAGCAUGGGGAGCAAACAGGAUUAGAUACCCGGGUAGUCCCUGUCUCUUAUAC
Molecule: ribosomal RNA, 301 nt
Filed under: uncultured bacterium
Lineage: Bacteria
Description: partial 16S ribosomal RNA
Rfam family: Bacterial small subunit ribosomal RNA
Source: RNAcentral